CCACCCCAUUUGAUUUCCACGCCACCCUCGUGCCACCCUAAGAAAAUUUCUCUAGAUCAGCCCCUGAUUUUAUGACUGCUUGUGUUUUCCACUCAGGCUGCCGUUUAUCUGCAAUGACCCAUCUGGCCACACGGGGGAGUCACUGCGCUGUAAAGCCAGGCGAACAGCUCAGUCCUGACUUCUUCAUACUUUGCUUCCAAGCAGCCAGACCGUUAAUAGUUUUUAAAAUAUGUUUCUGAAGUGCUCUUGCGCAACAGUUUUCCAGACUUUCUGAAGGGCUUUCAAGGUGUUUCUCUGGAACCCUGGUCAGGAUGUUCAGGAAGAUGGCGUGGAGGAACACACCCAGUGAAGUGGUGAUUCUCCCAUAACACCAGCAUGUUACUGCUGAGGUCCUACGGUCCUGACUGUAUUUCUGCUCAGAGACGAGGGAGAGGGCAAAAACUUCAAGGUGUUCCUGGGUGACCCACAUACCCACUCCUGCCCUGUGUUCACCAAGAAGCUGGAGCAUUACAAGCACAUCUGCUGGUAUCACUGACACAACGGAAGGAAUAGCCAUUGAUGAGCAUUUUAAUAUAUUUUUUAAAUACUGUGUGAAGGCAAACACUGACUGUAACAAUUGAAUGCAUUGAUUUGUCCAUAGUACAUAGUGUUUAUUUUUCUCUUUACCCAUUUUUAGGAGAACUACUUAACAAUCCUCUCCAAAAACUCCUUUAUCCCUCUAAAGAGUCAGCAGUUAUGUUAUGGCAUCCUUUCUAAAAAUUCUAAUCGGUAGCUUUACCAACAGGAACAGUGAUGACAGGCUGCUAACAGGAAACUCCAGGGUGGGAAGGCUAAAUGAGCAUGACUCUUAAAUCAACCUUUUUAAUCUUUAUCAUUUCAGGGUUUUACUGUGGAAAGUCAGACUACCCAGAGAACAUGAAUGUGAGUUACUUUCAGACUUUUGGUCGGUCAAAGAUUGUAAAAACCUUUGAAACGUUUACUCACCCAUGGGCAUGAAUCUCAUGGUAUUUGGGGGCUUUUAAUGAUUUCUUUGAACUGUUCUUUUUUUAGUGGUGGAAAAAGUUAAUGUAUGUUAUAUAAUUCUAUCUAUAAAAGCUUUAAAAAACAAGAACUGUGUGCACAACUUUAAUUUUAUACAUAUACACUCCCAUUAAUUUGUGGCUUAAUGUCUCUUAGCAUGUUGGACCUCAACCAGACACUUUUGGUAGCCACCAACAAGCUUCUGGAAUAAUCCUGGCUCAGAUCUAACAGCUCUUCUUGGCAGAAUAGGAAGAAUUCAUUUAAAUUGGGUGGUUUCUUGGCACAAUCUAGGCUUUUAAGCUCAGUUCAAACAUUUUCAACAGGGUUGAGGUCGGAGCUUUGGGAAGGCCAUUCUAGAAGCUCAGGGUUAGCCUGCUUUAUCUGUUCUGUAACCAGUUUUUAUGUUUUUGGGAUCAUUGUCAUGUUGGAACACCCAACUGUGUCCAAGUUUCAACCAUCUAGCUGCUAAUUUGAAGUGAAGAAUUUGGAGUCCUCCCCCUUCAUUAUUCCAACCAUUUUGUAUAAUGUAUCAUUACCACUGGCAGCAAAACGGCCUCCGAUUCUACCACCACCAUGCUUGACAGCUGGUACAGUGUUCUCAGGUUUGAAAGCCUCACCUUUACCAGUCAUGAUACUUUACAGUUUGGGUCUUCUUCCAGACCUUUAAAACAUGGUGAUAGAUCUUAAUAACAGCUGUACUUGCAUACAGUGAGUUAAAUGGAUGAUCUUGGAAUCUGCAGUUGGCUCCAAAAAAUAUUCCCAACUUGGGUAAAUCAACAAUUCUCUUUCUUGGAUCGUCACUUGGAGUUCCUUGAACUUUCCCAUUGUUCUGAGUAUUGGUCAAUUCAAUGAGUGCUGUCAAACAAUCACUUUAAUGCUGCAAAGAGCAAUGACGAGUUACAUUAAAGAUUUAAGCUGUACAAUCAUUCCACCGUAGAAAAAGAACAGUUGAAAGAAAUCAUUAAAAAUUAGCAUCACACGGCCUUUCAGGUGAAACUUUUCUGUGUAAAGUUUUACAUAUUAAAAUCGAACAUUAAUCAAACUGUUAUUUCAUAUUCUAAAUUUUCACCUUAGUCAACUUCACAUGCGCACACACAUUUCAGCUCCACGUGGACUGUGUGGACCCGAUCCUUUGGUAGUCCAACUCCUGCCCCUUGGAUGGAUAUGUUGUUUACAACCCCCUGACUUUUAGAAUCAGUGACAGGAAGACCUCCGCAAAGUCAGACUUCACUUCGAGGUGCUAUCAGGCACUUCAGUUUCUUUAAACAUCAGGAGAUGAAUCCUUAAUCAAAAUCAAGUAAAAAAGAAAAAGAAAAAAAAGACUUGAAUCUGCAA
This is a long non-coding RNA of Haplochromis burtoni (Burton's mouthbrooder), 2355 nucleotides long. RefSeq lists it as uncharacterized. The transcript has 3 exons. The record is from RefSeq and is a predicted model, not a curated record. Lineage: Eukaryota; Metazoa; Chordata; Actinopteri; Cichliformes; Cichlidae.